RNAcentral lists this ribosomal RNA (788 nucleotides) under Plasmodium ovale (malaria parasite P. ovale). RNAcentral describes it as "SSU rRNA". It matches the Rfam family "Eukaryotic small subunit ribosomal RNA", at positions 717 to 1433 of the family's 1831-position model. The record is from RNAcentral. Lineage: Eukaryota; Apicomplexa; Aconoidasida; Haemosporida; Plasmodiidae.
AUCUCUUUUGCUAUUUUUUAGUAUUGGAGAUUUUGUUACUUUGAGUAAAUUAGAGUGUUCAAAGCAAACAGUUAAAGCAUUUUACUGCGUUUGAAUACUACAGCAUGGAAUAACAAAAUUGAACAAGUCAGAAUUCUGUUCUUUUUUCUUAUUUUGGCUUAGUUACGAUUAAUAGGAGUAGCUUGGAGGCAUUUGUAUUCAGAUGUCAGAGGUGAAAUUCUUAGAUUUUCUGGAGACAAACAACUGCGAAAGCAUUUGCCUAAAAUACUUCCAUUAAUCAAGAACGAAAGCUAAGGGAGUGAAGACGAUCAGAUACCGUCGUAAUCUUAACCAUAAACUAUGCCGACUAGGUUUUGGAUGAAACAUUUUUAAAUAAGAAAAUUCCUUUCGGGGAAAUUUCUUAGAUUGCUUCCUUCAGUACCUUAUGAGAAAUCAAAGUCUUUGGGUUCUGGGGCGAGUAUUCGCGCAAGCGAGAAAGUUAAAAGAAUUGACGGAAGGGCACCACCAGGCGUGGAGCUUGCGGCUUAAUUUGACUCAACACGGGGAAACUCACUAGUUUAAGACAAGAGUAGGAUUGACAGAUUAAUAGCUCUUUCUUGAUUUCUUGGAUGGUGAUGCAUGGCCGUUUUUAGUUCGUGAAUAUGAUUUGUCUGGUUAAUUCCGAUAACGAACGAGAUCUUAACUUGCUAAUUAGCGGCGAAUACGUCAUAUUCUUAUGCGAAAUUGAAUAUAGCUGAAUUUGCUUAUUUUGAAGAAUACACUAGGAUACAAUUAAUGUGUCCUUUUCC